This is an RNA transcript of Mus musculus (house mouse), 4518 nucleotides long. It is a transcript of the gene named membrane-spanning 4-domains, subfamily A, member 6C, with no coding region annotated. Lineage: Eukaryota; Metazoa; Chordata; Mammalia; Rodentia; Muridae. The transcript has 8 exons. The record is from RefSeq and is marked validated.
AGUACAGGCACAGUAACAGUCCACAGCCUGUAAGCACCACUUCCCUUCCCGUGCAGCGAGCACAGAAGAAGGAAGGACUGGAGACAGUUACAAGUUCACAAGAAGGAACCAAGGAUCAGCCUGAGAGAACCCAGAGUUAAGGCUCUUAGGGUUUCUGAGAGCUCGGCUGGAAGUGACUGGGUGACAAGGCACACAGGCUCAGCUGUGGCAGCUCCAUCAUGAUUCCACAGGUAGUGACCAAUGAGACCAUCACAACGAUUUCACCAAAUGGAAUCAACUUUCCCCAAAAAGACGAGUCCCAGCCUACCCAACAGAGGCAAGACAGCCUGAAGAAACAUCUAAAGGCUGAGAUCAAAGUGAUAGUGGCAAUCCAGAUCAUGUGUGCUGUGACAGUGUUGGCUCUGGGAAUCAUUUUGGCAUCUGUUCCUCCUGUCCCAUAUUUUAACUCAGUGUUUUCUGUCCUGUUAAAAUCUGGCUACCCAUUUAUAGGAGCUUUGUUUUUUAUUGCCUCUGGAAUUUUGUCCAUCAUUACGGAGAGAAAGUCAACAAAACCUUUGGUAGAUGCCAGCCUAACUCUGAAUAUCCUGAGUGUUUCAUUUGCUUUCGUGGGCAUCAUUAUCAUCUCUGUCAGCCUGGCUGGUUUGCAUCCUGCCUCAGAGCAAUGCAAGCAGAGCAAGGAGCUUAGUCUAAUUGAACAUGACUACUACCAACCUUUCUACAACUCAGACAGGAGUGAAUGUGCCGUCACCAAGUCUAUUCUGACUGGAGCCCUUUCAGUGAUGCUGAUCAUCAGUGUGUUGGAGCUUGGUCUGGCUUUGCUCUCUGCCAUGCUGUGGUUGAGAGAGGGUGUUCUGACUUCCCUUAGGGAAGGAAGGCCUACCAUCUAGAACUCUCAGUUGAUGUUUUCAUUACUACAUCCACAUUCUACCUCAGCCAUCACUGUUGUCAUCAAAAUUUCCGAACCUUUUAUGAAACAAGAAGACAUCCGUAUCAACUCUACAGGGACUAUAAGCACUUAAAGUCAAAUAGAGAACCAGUUUAUACAAUUAAAAGAAAUGAAAACAAACAGUAGAAAGAUAUAAAUUGGGGAAAGCUACCCAAGAAUAAUUACCAUAAAAGAAUCUAAAAUAUGAAUGGUUAUAUAACAAGUGAAGGAAUGGAAGCAAUAGUCAAAAACCUCGCCAGCAAGUGAACCUCAGGCUCAGGGUGCUUCAACAGUCAACUCAUUUCAGUAUUUAAAGAAAACUAUACCAAUCAUUUGCAAAUGAAUGUUAAAAAGAAAGAAGGAUAGGACACUCCAAUCUUAUUCCAUGAAUUUAGUGUCCUGAUACAGAAACAUUACAUGAUUAGAGCUAUGGAAAAUUCACUUCUAGUGCAUUUUACACCUAUCUAUUCUGUUGGCAUGUCUUUUUUCAGUGUCGGUCACAGCCUGGGCAAAAGACUUGCAAUAUACAAUCUCUUUUCUGCCUCCUCUUAGCCAACUUCAUUCUGGCAUUGGAGCACUCCUGUGGUAUAAGUAGGCUUUGACCAUCACAGUCUAUAUAUUUUUAGCUAGUAAUUUUUUAGCACUUUUACUAAUUUCAUGUUAGUGUUGGGUUCAACUAUUCUCAUUUAUAAAUAUUGUCAUAUUUAAGCCCAGCUAUUAAUUUUUUAUGUAAAUAAAAAUGUAAACAUAUUUCUUCAAGUUUUGUUCUAUGCUUUUUCUGUAAUAUUAAAUAUCAUUCUGAUGUGAUAUUGUUCAUGUUUGUGUUCUGACUUAUGUACUUAAAAGCUUAGACAUUAUUGAAUGCCUGUAUAUCUAUGUAGCUAUGAACUAUAUACUCACUAUCUGGGAGUUCCUUUCAGAACUAUAUGACUUCCACUUAGGUACUAAAAUUAAUGUAAUACUAAUCAUCUUUAUAAAAGACUCUAAAAUAUCUCUAAACAAUUAAAAACAAAAGAACAAUAGCUUCUCUUUUUUGAAAUUUUCAUAGAAAUGUAUAGAGUUUUUUUUUCUUUUAUUGCUGGAGCAGAGAAGAGAAGAUCGUUAACUGAAGUGUUUGACUACAUUUGUGUGUGUGUGUUUCUGAGAACAAAUAAGAUCACAUGUGAUUUCCGUCUGUUUUAACUAAAGGCAUGUUUUAGAUCUCCUUAUUGCAUAUUUCCUUUGUCUUUCUAAGAAAUCAGCUCAAAUAAAUCAUGAAUGAGUAUAUGCAGACCUCCGCAGUGUGAACUGUGUUAGUGAUGCUAAAGCAAUGCUCCUGAGCCUUAAAGAAUGGGUAACUUUUUUCUCAGAUUAAUAAAACAAAAAGGAAGCAAGCAAAAACCGAAUUGCAAACUCAUGACAAGUCUUUAGAUAUGGAAUUUUCCACUCCUUACUUUCCUUUAGUUUUAUUUACACUGAACUUCUCAUAACCCAGGCAUGCUCACACUCUCCACACUGGGCUCCUUCUCAGAGCAAUGCAAAGAACUAGGAAUAGGAAUGGUCUCUUCUUACCUUUGCAUAUUUUCAUAGCACGGUCACCGAAUUUAAUGUCCUGUCUGCUAUGGAGACUCUGUUCAAUCCUCAAAAAGACUGACAUGCUCUGGUGUGGGUAUGUGACAGAAACAUUACCUUGAGUCCUCCUUGGCCAUCUGUUUCCUGCUACUUCAACUUCACAGAAGAGCGUCUGUGAAACUGCAAGCACAGUGCUCUGUGAGACACUGGUCUCUCCCCACUUCUUUCAUGGUAAUGACUCUGCCUCAAAGCCCAUCAACAAGAGAACAGAUAAAGGAUUAAUGUCAUACAUACAGAAGGGAACCAUGAUGAAAAAUUAAAUCCUCUCAUUUGUACAAAAAUGUAUAGAACAUGGAGCCUUUGAAUCAAUAAAAUAAGAAAGACAUUUGAACACAGUACUGCAUUUUCUCUGAUAUGUAGAAAUAAUUAAACAACUUAACAAUAUGAAAGUAGAGAGAAACUGGCAGAGGCCAUGCAGCAUCUCCAGGGAAGAGCAUAUAAGUGCUUCACUGAUGUACUCUGCUGUGGCAAGGUCCUUGGAGACCCCUGGGAUUCUACUGUGGCAAAGCCCAUGGAAUCCCCUUCCCACUUGGCAAGAGCCUGUAGUAUAUUUAGUGGCCCCUAUGCUUAUUCCCUAGAUCAUGUGUGCUACCAUCUCUCCUUGCAUUUGCUAUGCUGCCAAUACCCAAAGCAAAAUUUGGUUUCAUUUUGUCAGUCAUGGGCAAAGCCAGGAUCAUGCAGGAGGAAAGCCCUAAGGAUAAUCUUGUUUUUGUCAAUACUCUUUUGAAGGAUAAAUUCUUCCUCUUCUCUCUUUGCCGCUAUAGAUCCUCCAGAUGUGACCAUUAAUCCUGGAUAUGAGGGAACAUGUAAUCAUGUCUGUAGAUAAACAGCUACAGUCAUACUGAAUACGCUUGUGCCAGUUGUUAGAGUGGUAGUUCCAGUUUGCAUAAGUGUUCUGAGACAGACAUGUCUGAUCAAGAGAGACGUUAAUGAUGAAGCUAUGUGCAAUCAACCGAUAUUUAAAAUGGGGAAGUUAUGUCUGACCAACAGAGUUAGAAAAUGGAGAAGUUGUGUCUGAUCAAUAGAGUUAGAAAAUAGGGAAGCUAUGUCUGAUCAAUUGAGACUUAAAAGUGGCUCUUGAAAUGUUGCUAUCAGGAACUGAUAAGUAUAUAUCAGGAAAGAUUACUUGGUACAAUAAACAUGUCUCUGUCUGCAAUUUAAAAAGUAUUAUGACAGAGGGGUGCUAUGUGUUGACUGAACUUGUACCCACAAAUAUUUAAUUCUGUCUUUCACUUUGCAUAACUAUGUAACUGUAUUUGGUACCUGAACUGGAAAUUUCUGGUUUCCUUGGAGAUUCAGUUGUGUCGUGUGAUGUUUUUCUGGAAACUGUCCUAUGAGAGGAUGUUUAUGCUGAAGCAGACAAGUAGGAGGAUGUUUUUCUCAGAACAGUCAUAUGGUGUUUUUUCUGAAGCAGCCAUGUGUCGUUUGCUAGAACAGACACUUGAGAGAACAUGGGAUGUUUGGAAAGGGUUUAAAUAGAACCCAAUGGACUGUGGACAACACUUUGUGCUAUUGGGACAACUGGCCACCCUGUACUGGUCAUCAUUUGUUGAAUACCACUUCUAGUGGUAUUCUUGUGGCUUCUUGCUGUUUCCUUGAGCCAACUGAAAGAGCCUCACAGUUUCUUCUUGAUUGAACUGCUGUUGCUGAUUUCUGAAUGGUGUUUGUGAGUGGAUCAAGCUACCUCAGCUGAUUUGUGUGAACUGGACUGCUGAUAUUCAGACAAUGAAGAUUGGAAUCACCUCAAAGAACUAUUUCUAAACAGGUACUGGUGGACAUAUCCCCACUGAACAGAACCUCUCUACACAUGCUCUAUAUCCUGACUAUGAGGAGGUGGCACCUCACCUCUUUAACUUGACCUAACAUUGCAGUGUGCCAAACCUGCUUUUUGCCCACUUUACCAUCUAGAGGGUCUGUGUCUGGGUGUAGUGUCUUAUGUUUUUUUUUCACAAUAAUAAAUGCAAUGAAUUUGUUGCUGUCAA